GUCCAAGCAGUAAACGGUGAAUAUUAAAUACAAUUAAUUUGUGUUAAAAUAACUUAUUAAAUAUUCCGCCUGAGUACUACGAUCGCAAGAUUAAAAUUCAAAAUAUUUGACGGUUCCUAAUUUCCAACCGGAGGAGCAUGUGGUUUAAUUCGACAACCAGCGAGAAACCUUACCUAACUUGGUUUAAGCAAUAUUUGUAAUAUACAUAUGCUUAAUCAGAUGCUGCAUGGCUGCCGU
RNAcentral lists this ribosomal RNA (237 nucleotides) under uncultured bacterium. Its description in RNAcentral is "partial 16S ribosomal RNA". It matches the Rfam family "Bacterial small subunit ribosomal RNA", at positions 793 to 1055 of the family's 1533-position model. The record is from RNAcentral.